AUUCCGCUGAAUUUAAGCAUAUAAGUAAGUGGUGGAAAUUAAACCAAAUGGGAUAUCUUUAGUAAUUGCGAAUGAACAAGGAUAUGCUUAGCUUGACAAAUGGAGCUAUUGGCUUUGAAUUGUAUUUGUGGAAUGUAUUACCAACAGAGGUGCAGGUGCCAGCCUAUUAAAUAAAGCGUCAAUGAGGGUGAGAAUCCUGUUUGUCAUGUGCAGCCCUUUGUGCACGGUGUAUAUUUGCUGAGUCACACUCCUUGGCAUUGGAAUGCAAAGUGGGUGGUAAGUUUCAUGUACAGGUAAACAUGCAAUUGAGACUGAUAGCACACAAGUACCAUGAGGGAAAUAUGAAAAGGACUUUGAAAAGAGAAUUAAAUGAGUUUGUAUUUGCUGAACACAAAGUAAACAGACUUGAUUUGCUUGGUGGGAGUGUUGCACUUGCUUGACAAGAGCUUUGGGCUGUGGGUGUAAUGAUUCUUUCUUUGCAUGCCAGUUUCUAUGUGUACAUCUGAUUACCUUUGCACAUGAAUGAUAAGUCUCCUGUGGGGGGUGGAUUGCAUGUGCAUGUAAUGAUUUGUGUUUUGAUAAAUGUGUCUGGUGUAUGUGUGUGUGUUCCUGUGCUUGGGGAUGCUUCCUUCCUUGGACUUACAAGCCCUGACACACACAUGCUGGCAAAAUGCUUCUGCUUGACCCGUCUUGAAAAU
RNAcentral lists this ribosomal RNA (698 nucleotides) under Alexandrium tamarense. Its description in RNAcentral is "LSU rRNA". It matches the Rfam family "Eukaryotic large subunit ribosomal RNA", at positions 24 to 661 of the family's 3401-position model. Lineage: Eukaryota; Dinophyceae; Gonyaulacales; Pyrocystaceae. The record is from RNAcentral.